Molecule: ribosomal RNA, 254 nt
Filed under: uncultured bacterium
Lineage: Bacteria
Description: partial 16S ribosomal RNA
Rfam family: Bacterial small subunit ribosomal RNA
Source: RNAcentral
UACGAAGGGGGCUAGCGUUGUUCGGAAUUACUGGGCGUAAAGCGCACGUAGGCGGACUAUUAAGUCAGGGGUGAAAUCCCGGGGCUCAACCCCCGGAACUGCCUUUGAUACUGGUAGUCUCGAGUCCGGAAGAGGUGAGUGGAAUUCCGAGUGUAGAGGUGAAAUUCGUAGAUAUUCGGAGGAACACCAGUGGCGAAGGCGGCUCACUGGUCCGGUACUGACGCUGAGGUGCGAAAGCGUGGGGAGCAAACAGG